UACGGAAGGCAGCAGUGGGGAAUAUUGCACAAUGGGCGAAAGCCUGAUGCAGCUAUGCCGCGUGUAUGAAGAAGGCCUUAGGGUUGUAAAGUACUUUCAUCGGGGAGGAAAAAACAAAACUAAUAAUUUUAUUUCUUGACGUUACCCGAAAAAGAAGCACCGGCUAACUCCGUGCCAGCAGCCGCGGUAAUACGGAGGGUGCUAGCGUUAAUCAGAAUUACUGGGCGUAAAGAGCACGUAGGUGGUUUUUUUAAGUCAGAUGUGAAAUCCCUGGGCUUAACCUAGGAACUGCAUUUUGAAACUGAAAUACUAGAGUAUCGUAGAGGGAGGUAGAAUUCUAGGUGUAGCGGUGAAAUGCGUAGAUAUCUGGAGGAAUACCUGUGGCGAAAGCGGCCUCCUAAACGAAUACUGACACUGAGGGUGCGAAAGCGUGGGGAGCAAACAGGGAUUUAGAUACC
This 458-nucleotide ribosomal RNA is filed under the name uncultured bacterium. RNAcentral describes it as "bacterial SSU rRNA". It matches the Rfam family "Bacterial small subunit ribosomal RNA", at positions 340 to 786 of the family's 1533-position model. The record is from RNAcentral.